Molecule: transfer RNA, 66 nt
Filed under: Siphonosoma cumanense
Lineage: Eukaryota; Metazoa; Annelida; Sipuncula; Golfingiida; Sipunculidae
Description: tRNA-Thr
Rfam family: tRNA
About the family: Transfer RNA (tRNA) molecules are approximately 80 nucleotides in length. Their secondary structure includes four short double-helical elements and three loops (D, anti-codon, and T loops).
Source: RNAcentral
GCCUCAGUAGUUUAAUUAGGAACAUCGGUCUUGUAAACCGAAGGAUGAGAGAUACCUCCUGAGGCU